UUCUUUUGAAGACUGAUGAGUGUUGGUGACGCACUUCAGAUGCAUGAGUCAUUUAACAUUUCUUUGAAGUGAGCGAUAUUUCGUCACAGGAUCAGCAUGAAAACGUUAUAGUGAGUAUGGAAAUUUGUUUAUUUUAUACACAGCUAUAGAUUUUCUUCUGGAAGAUAAUCUCUUUCGCCAAGCGCAGUUAUGUAAUUAUGUACGACUUUUAUGUAUAUUGUAUUUGCUGAUCUGCAAUAAAAUAAUUGAAUCUUCAAUUCCAGAUCACAAUUCAUUAAAGUUGAGCUGUUUACGCAAAUGCGGUCUGAUCUCGCGCGCCUUCAUAUCCUGAAGUUCGUGAUUUCUUCAGCUGUGACGCACGAAAAUUUGCCAGUUUUAGUGACGAUGAAAGAAAACGUCUACCGUGCUUCCUUUUUAUAUUAAAGCAAGUCCGGAAAUCGGAAGGAAGUAUAGAAUAACGUGGAAUCCUAUCAGUACCGAGUGCCUCUGUCCACAUUCAGUAUACGUGAGUGGUUCAAGUAAAAACGAAACGUUUUGUACAGCACACGGAAAAUGACUUG
This is a non-coding RNA of Paramuricea clavata, 560 nucleotides long. The record is from the annotation of a GenBank genome assembly. NCBI's taxonomy places the organism in Eukaryota, Metazoa, Cnidaria, Anthozoa, Malacalcyonacea, Plexauridae.